UUAACUUGUUUUUUUUUACUCAGAGAUACACUAAGAUGCAGAAAUAGUUGUUGGUUUGUGCCGUCGGCGGGCGGGCCCUCCCGCCGAAGCAACGCUAAUGGAUGAGUUCGCGAUGGUUUAUAAGCGGCCGUUUCGGGGCGCUUCUUGUUAAUGAUCCCUCCGCUGGUUCACCAACGGAGA
RNAcentral lists this unclassified non-coding RNA (180 nucleotides) under uncultured fungus. Its description in RNAcentral is "sequence contains ITS1". Lineage: Eukaryota; Fungi. The record is from RNAcentral.